AAUAAAUUUUUUAUAGUUUAUAAAUUUAUUAUAAAUUUAUUUUGCAUAUAAAUUUUAGUGUUUAUUUUUCAUUAUUUUAAUAAUUUUUGAAUUUUAAAAUAUAUAGCAAUUAAUAUUAAAAAUUUAAGAGAUUAAGAUUUAGUAAUAUUUAAAUUAAUAACAAAUUUUGUGCCAGCAGUUGCGGUUAUACAAAAAUUAAAUUAAAUUUUAUUAGUAAUUAAUUUAUAAAAAUUUUAUUUAAUUAAAUAUUAAAUUUAAUAGGUGAAAUUUUUAUUUGAUUUAAUUUAAUUUAAUUUUAUAAUUUAAUAAAUUUAUAUUAUAAACUAGGAUUAGAUACCCUAUUAUUAAAAAUUUAAAUUUAAAAUACUAAAAUAGUAUAUAAUUAUUUAUUGAAACUUAAAUAAUUUGGCGGUAUUUUAGUUCAUUUAGAGGAAUCUGUUUAUUAAUUGAUAAUCCACGAAUGAAUUUACUUAAUUUAAAAUUUUGUAUAUCGUUGUUAAAAAAAUAUUUUUAAAUGAAAAUAAUAUUUUAAUUUUAUAAUUAAAAAUUAAAUCAGAUCAAGAUGCAGAUUAUAAUUAAGAAUAUAAUGGAUUACAAUAAAUUUAUUUAAAUGAAUUUUUUUUUGUAAUAAAAAUUUGAAAGUGGAUUUAAAUGUAAUUUUAUUUAUUUUAAUAAAAUGAUUAUAUAUUAAAAUAUGUACAUAUUGCCCGUCGCUUUCAUAAAUAAAUUGGAAUAAGUCGUAACAAAGUAGAGGUACUGGAAAGUGUUUCUAGAAAUAA
RNAcentral lists this non-coding RNA (779 nucleotides) under Ostrinia furnacalis (Asian corn borer). The record is from RNAcentral. Lineage: Eukaryota; Metazoa; Arthropoda; Insecta; Lepidoptera; Crambidae.